RNAcentral lists this ribosomal RNA (442 nucleotides) under uncultured Oomycota. RNAcentral's name for it is "LSU rRNA". It matches the Rfam family "Eukaryotic large subunit ribosomal RNA", at positions 165 to 604 of the family's 3401-position model. The record is from RNAcentral. Lineage: Eukaryota; Oomycota.
AGCAUAAGCGAUUUGGGAUAAGUCCCUUGGAAAAGGGCAGCACAGAGGGUGAUACUCCCGUCUUUGCUCAGAUUGUCUAUGUGUACGAUACGCUUUCUUUGAGUCGAGUUGUUUGGGAAUACAGCUCAAAGUAGGUGGUAAAUUCCAUCUAAAGCUAAAUAUUGGUGCGAGACCGAUAGCGAACAAGUACCGUGAGGGAAAGAUGAAAAGAACUUUGAAAAGAGAGUUAAAGAGUACCUGAAACUGUUGAAAGGGAACCGUAACAUGUCCAGUGUUGUAUCUUGUGCAUAUUUCAUUAGUGGAGUAAUUUACUGGUGCCCUGUGCAUAAGUGUGACGUCAAAGUCAGUUUGUAUGCUGCGGGAGAUGGUUAACAAGGAGGUGCGUCGCUUUUGUGUCAGUUAUACCUUGUUAUCUAGUAGCCGUGGUUGAGACUGAGGUGCC